AAUGGGCGAAAGCCUGAUCCAGCCAUCCCGCGUGAGUGAUGAAGGCUCUAGGGUCGUAAAGCUCUGUGGAGAGAGACGAACGUUAGGGAACAAUACCCCUUAAUCUGACGGUAUCUCUUUAGCAAGCACCGGCUAACUCCGUGCCAGCAGCCGCGGUAAUACGGAGGGUGCAAACGUUGCUCGGAAUCAUUGGGCGUAAAGCGCGCGUAGGCGGCUUGAUUAGUCGGAUGUGAAAGCCCUCGGCUUAACCGGGGAAGUGCAUUCGAAACUGUCAGGCUUGAGUAUGGGAGAGGGUUGCGGAAUUCCCGGUGUAGAGGUGAAAUUCGUAGAUAUCGGGAGGAACACCAGAGGCGAAGGCGGCAGCCUGGACCAAUACUGACGCUGAGGUGCGAAAGCGUGGGGAGCAAACAGGAUU
Molecule: ribosomal RNA, 415 nt
Filed under: uncultured delta proteobacterium
Lineage: Bacteria; Deltaproteobacteria
Description: bacterial SSU rRNA
Rfam family: Bacterial small subunit ribosomal RNA
Source: RNAcentral